This 467-nucleotide ribosomal RNA is filed under the name uncultured bacterium. RNAcentral's name for it is "partial 16S ribosomal RNA". It matches the Rfam family "Bacterial small subunit ribosomal RNA", at positions 29 to 507 of the family's 1533-position model. The record is from RNAcentral.
ACGCACGCUGGCGGCGUGCUUAACACAUGCAAGUCGAACGGAAAGGCCCUGCUUUUGUGGGGUGCUCGAGUGGCGAACGGGUGAGUAACACGUGAGUAACCUGCCCUUAACUUUGGGAUAACUUCAGGAAACUGGGGCUAAUACCGGAUAGGAGCUCCUGCUGCAUGGUGGGGGUUGGAAAGUUUCGGCGGUUGGGGAUGGACUCGCGGCUUAUCAGCUUGUUGGUGGGGUAGUGGCUUACCAAGGCUUUGACGGGUAGCCGGCCUGAGAGGGUGACCGGCCACAGUGGGACUGAGAUACGGCCCAGACUCCUACGGGAGGCAGCAGUGGGGAAUACUGCACAAUGGGCGGAAGCCUGAUGCAGCAACGCCGCGUGCGGGAUGACGGCCUUCGGGUUGUAAACCGCUUUCGCCUGUGACGAAGCGUGAGUGACGGUAAUGGGUAAAGAAGCACCGGCUAACUACGUG